Molecule: long non-coding RNA, 224 nt
Filed under: Panax ginseng (ginseng)
Lineage: Eukaryota; Viridiplantae; Streptophyta; Magnoliopsida; Apiales; Araliaceae
Description: long non-coding RNA (PGIN_LNC016643)
Source: RNAcentral
UAAAUGAUUUGAAGGUGGUUGCAUGCUUGUAUUGUUACUCUAAUAUGUAUAAUAUGACCAGUGCAAAACUAAUAUGUUAAGAAGCAUGCUAAAUGAUUGAAUUGAAUGUUUAAUGCAGUGAUUAAGAACUUCAAAGUCAUAAGUCCAAAAGAUAUUUGCGAACUAUAAAGCAAUGAUUAAGAAACUGUAUUGUUAACUUUGUAGUAUCUUAUAAACUAAUGUGG